This is an RNA transcript of Dicentrarchus labrax (European seabass), 2762 nucleotides long. RefSeq lists it as uncharacterized. The record is from RefSeq and is a predicted model, not a curated record. The transcript has 3 exons. Lineage: Eukaryota; Metazoa; Chordata; Actinopteri; Moronidae.
UCUGUACUUGUAUUAUUAGAUCUUAGUGCUGCAUUUGACACUAUUGACCAUAAUAUUCUUUUACAGAGACUUGAGCAUCAAAUUGGCAUUAAAGGAACCGCACUAAGCUGGUUUAAGUCAUAUUUAUCAGAUCGCUCGCAGUUUGUACAUGUUAACAAUGAAUCUUCAAUAAAUACUACAGUUAGUCAUGGAGUUCCACAAGGUUCUGUACUUGGACCAAUACUAUUUACUUUAUAUAUGCUCCCUUUAGGCAACAUUAUUAGGAAUCACUCCAUUAACUUUCACUGUUAUGCAGAUGAUAUGCAGUUAUAUCUAUCAAUCAAACCCAAUGAAAUUAAUCAAUUAUCUAAAUUACAAACAUGUCUUAAUGACAUAAAAUCCUGGAUGACCUGCAAUUUUCUGAUGUUAAACUCAGAAAAAAACGAAAUUCUUGUUCUUGGCCCCAAAAACCUUAGACACUCACUGUCUAAAGAUAUAGUUACUCUAGAUGGCAUUAACUUGGCCUCUAGCACCACUGUCAGGAAUCUUGGAGUUAUCUUUGAUCAGGAUUUGUCAUUUAACUCCCACAUAAAGCAGACAUCUAGGACUGCCUUCUUUCAUUUACGUAAUAUUAGAAAAAUUAGACACAUACUAUCACAGACAGAUGCAGAAAAACUAAUCCAUGCAUUUGUUACUUCAAGGCUGGAUUACUGCAACUCUUUAUUAUCAGGUUGCCCCAAUAAGUCCAUUAAAACGCUCCAAUUAAUUCAGAACGCUGCAGCACGAGUACUGACAGGAACUAGAAAAAGAGAUCACAUCUCUCCUGUACUAGCUUCUCUGCAUUGGCUCCCUGUAAAAUGUAGAAUAGAAUUUAAAAUCCUCCUCCUCACCUAUAAAGCUCUUCAUGGUCAGGCCCCUUCAUAUCUUAAAGAGCUCAUAGUACCCUAUUACCCCACUAGAACACUACGUUCUCUGAAUGCUGGGCUACUUGUGGUUCCUAUAGUCUCUAAAAGUAGAACAGGAGCCAGAGCCUUCAGUUACCAAGCUCCUCUCCUGUGGAACCAGCUUCCAGUUGUGGUUCGGGAGGCAGACACCCUCACCACAUUCAAGAGUAGGCAGACACCCUCACCACAUUCAAGAGUAGGCUUAAGACAUUCCUUUUUGAUAAAGCUUAUAGUUAGGGCUGGAUCAGGUGAGUCCUGAACCAUCCCUUAGUUAUGCUGCUAUAGGCCUAGACUAUCGGGGGAUUUCCCAUGGUGCACUGAGCUCCUCUCUUCCUCUCUCUUUCUGCACUCAUUCAUGUUCCAUUAAUGCAUGUUACUAACUGCACUUCUUCCCCCGGAGUUCUUGUGCUUUCUCGUCUCGCAGGUUCUUAUCGAUCCUGGUGGAGCCUCCUGCCAUGGUCCUGCUAGAUUGCCAUUGCCAAUACUGUUGUUGCUGUGCACCUGUCUGUCUGUCUGUCUCUCUGUCUCUCUCUCUCUCUCUCUCUCUCUCUCUCUCUCUCUCUCACCCCAACUGGUCGAGACAGACGACCACCCACCUAGAGCCGGAGGAUCUGUCCUAGGUUUCUGCCUUUUAACAGGCAGUGUUUCCUUGCCCUUGUCUCCAAGGUCUUGCUCAUGGUGGUACUGUUGGGUCUCUGUAAAUAAUGUCAUAAGGAGUUCGGUCUAGACCUGCUCUAUUUGAAAAGUGUCCUGAGAUAACUUCUGUUAUGAAUUGGCGCUAUACAAAUAAAAACGUUAGCAGCAGCGCGGCCAUUGGAUGUCCUUUGUCUGUCCAAUGGCGUGGGAGAAACUGAUUGUUAAGGUGGAACUGCUUCAAUUGAUUACUUCAUUAAGAGGAAAAUAAUCAAACAUAAAGACUUGUUCCAGCGUUGGUGAGGAUUUGAUGUUGUUGUUGUUGAUUUGUAACACGUAAAUAAAAUGACAUUUCAUUGUUUAGUUGAGGGUGAAAUAAAGUAAAAGUUUAUGUGUUUGAAGAGACAAGCUUUAAGGAUUGAUAAUGAAAAUAAUGUGUUUUUAAAGGUCAAUGCUCGUUCAAUGAAAGCUGCCAAACAACACUCAGUGAUAUUUACUGACUCUGGAACAGCACUCUGAGCAGAUGAAUUAAUGAAUCUUUGAUUCCUGAAUAAAGAACAUUUGAGGAAAAAGGUUAAAAACAACAAACUUUCAGAACAUGUGAUUUAGUUUUAUUAUUCAAAAAGCUUUAAAAGAGAAGUUAAAGUCUGACAUACUGUGAACUACAGUGUUUUCAGUCAGAUAGUCUCCAUUCACAGACUGAGCUGCUCCUCUUAGCUGCUCCUGUUAGCAGUGUAUCAUGCAUGUACAGACAGCUAUCACUGGAUGUUUACUGAAGGAAACUAUCUAUCAGUCCCUCCAGGAUUCCUGAUUUCAUGUUGUGUCUUCAGGUUUUUGCACUGAAAUUGUGGGAGAAAGUGAAAAUUGCGAAAAUAGUUGCAGUUUUAUUAGUUUUUUUUGCAUAAUUUAUUAAAAAUAGGAGGCAACUUGUUCCAGUGAGAAUAAAAUCAACAGUUCGAGGGUAAAUGUGGUCUGCAUCUUCACAACUAGAAACAAGAAAGUGAGUUUUGUGCAGGAAACAAUGUUCGGUACUCAACUCACUGCACAACACAAUGAGAUUAAAUAUUCCUUUAUCUCUCAGACAGAAAUAUAAAUAUAUAUAUAUAUAUAUACAUUCUAUAUAUCUUUAUCUAACUAUUGAAUCCUUUUCUGUUUCUAAGGUAUAAACUGUAAAAGUGAAAAUAAAACCCAUAUCUCACCAUCUGU